CCCUACGGGAGGCAGCAGUAGGGAAUCUUCCACAAUGGACGAAAGUCUGAUGGAGCAACGCCGCGUGAGUGAAGAAGGGUUUCGGCUCGUAAAGCUCUGUUGGUAGUGGAGAAAGAUAGAGGGAGUAACUGGCCUUUAUUUGACGGUAAUUACUUAGAAAGUCACGGCUAACUAAGUGCCAGCAGCCGCGGUAAUACGUAGGUGGCAAGCGUUGCCCGGAUUUAAUGGGCGUAAAGCGAGUGCAGGCGGGUGCAAAAAGAUGAU
RNAcentral lists this ribosomal RNA (264 nucleotides) under uncultured bacterium. Its description in RNAcentral is "partial 16S ribosomal RNA". It matches the Rfam family "Bacterial small subunit ribosomal RNA", at positions 337 to 593 of the family's 1533-position model. The record is from RNAcentral.